CGUUUAACGACUUCAAGCUCAGGAUCGGAAUUAACCACGGCCCGGUGAUUGCAGGAGUUAUCGGAGCCCUUAAACCCCAGUAUGACAUCUGGGGAAACAGUGUGAACGUUGCCAGCAGGAUGGAAAGCACGGGCAUGAUGGACAAGAUUCAGGUGACCGAGGAGACGCGCGAGGUGGUGGAGAACAUCGGC
This is a long non-coding RNA of Oryzias melastigma (Indian medaka), 191 nucleotides long. RefSeq lists it as uncharacterized. Lineage: Eukaryota; Metazoa; Chordata; Actinopteri; Beloniformes; Adrianichthyidae. The transcript is spliced from 3 exons. The record is from RefSeq and is a predicted model, not a curated record.